GACGAUUUUUCCUCAGCGGCUUAUGUACUUUCACGCAAGAAAAUAUCGGUCAAAAAUACGGACCACAGGAAAAACCCAGCCGCGUAGGUACUUUCACACAAGAAAAUAUCGGACAAAAAAUCGGACCACAGGAAAAACCCAG
Haliotis rufescens (red abalone) is the source of this 142-nucleotide long non-coding RNA. RefSeq lists it as uncharacterized. The record is from RefSeq and is a predicted model, not a curated record. NCBI's taxonomy places the organism in Eukaryota, Metazoa, Mollusca, Gastropoda, Lepetellida, Haliotidae. The transcript has 3 exons.